GGCAUGGUAGCCGAGUGGGUAAAGCGCUGCUUAUAGCUAUUGGCUCGGUACCGAAUUUCGAUGGUUCGAAUCCAUCCCAGAGCAA
Rhamnusium bicolor is the source of this 85-nucleotide non-coding RNA. NCBI's taxonomy places the organism in Eukaryota, Metazoa, Arthropoda, Insecta, Coleoptera, Cerambycidae. The record is from the annotation of a GenBank genome assembly.